UGAUCUCAAAUCAGGUAGGAUUACCCGCUGAACUUAAGCAUAUCAAUAAGCGGAGGAAAAGAAACUAACAAGGAUUCCCCUAGUAACGGCGAGUGAAGCGGGAAGAGCUCAAAUUUAAAAUCUGUAAGGUUCAACCUUGCCGAAUUGUAGUUUGAAGAAGUGUUUUCCGCGGCGGCUGCAGUACAAAUCCUUUGGAACAGGGUAUCAGAGAGGGUGAGAAUCCCGUCUUUGACUGCAGACUAGUUGCACUGUGAUACACUUUCUAAGAGUCGAGUUGUUUGGGAAUGCAGCUCAAAAUGGGUGGUAAAUUUCAUCUAAAGCUAAAUAUUGGCAAGAGACCGAUAGCGAACAAGUACCGUGAGGGAAAGAUGAAAAGAACUUUGAAAAGAGAGUUAAAUAGUACGUGAAAUUGUUAAAAGGGAAACGCUUGAAGUCAGUGUUGCCGGCUGAAAAUCAGCUUCCUGCGGAUGGCUUGCUGCGGUGGAGGGAGUGUUAAAACCCCUUGCUGUAGUACAGCUAGCCGGAGGGAGUG
Basidiobolus meristosporus CBS 931.73 is the source of this 532-nucleotide ribosomal RNA. It matches the Rfam family "Eukaryotic large subunit ribosomal RNA", at positions 1 to 500 of the family's 3401-position model. The record is from Rfam. NCBI's taxonomy places the organism in Eukaryota, Fungi, Basidiobolomycota, Basidiobolomycetes, Basidiobolales, Basidiobolaceae.